AUUUGUUAUUAAUAUCUCUAAAAUUCGACUGCAACAUUAAUUUUAAGAUUAUGAACAUAGUGGGAAAUGUAUUUAUUAAAAAAUAAUACUUAUUAGAUUUGGAGCUUAGCAUAGAAUGUAUUAAUUUUACAAUGAUGUAUACAUUUUUUAUGUACUGAACAACUUUUUUUACCAGAAUUCUUUCUUCGAAAUAUCAAGUGUAGUACCUUUUGAGAAGGAAAAUUUUUGUUAAGAAACAUGUCUAUGGUCAUGACUGGUGCUACCUGGUAGGGAUGCCAAAUGAAAACUGAUUGCCAAAACAGUAUGUUCUCUUGUGAAACUAGGUAGGUUUAAUUAUUGUAUUAGUUGAAAAAUAGUUCCUUUUGUAAUAUUGAACAAACAUUGGUUGAUUCAGAAUGUUUCUGGUCAUUUAAUGAUUGGUUUAUAAUUAUUUAUUUUACUAAUUACUUAACAGAAUUUAGGUUUCAACUAUAUUGAUAUAAAAAUGAAAAUACAAAUCAUGUUAUAUUUUCAUUUUUAAAUUGAUAACCCUUAUAACCC
Molecule: non-coding RNA, 540 nt
Organism: Cinara cedri
Lineage: Eukaryota; Metazoa; Arthropoda; Insecta; Hemiptera; Aphididae
Source: the annotation of a GenBank genome assembly